Molecule: unclassified non-coding RNA, 239 nt
Filed under: Glomeraceae sp.
Lineage: Eukaryota; Fungi; Glomeromycota; Glomeromycetes; Glomerales; Glomeraceae
Description: partial contains 5.8S ribosomal RNA and internal transcribed spacer 2
Rfam family: 5.8S ribosomal RNA (bases 1-71)
Source: RNAcentral
GUGAAUCAUCAAAUUUUUGAACGCAAAUUGCACUCUCUGGUAUCCCGGAGAGUAUGCCUGUUUGAGGGUCAGUUUUAAUAAAAAUUGGUGUGGUUGCUGCCUUUCGUGGUGACGGACCGGAGUUGGGUCGUCACGUCUUCGGUUAAGUGACCUAAAAUUUACCAUGAUUUUUUUUGAUUGUAUUUACAUGAUUUUACGUAAGUUUGCGAUAUUGAAUACUAGGUUUGGUUUAUCUCAUG